CAAUAGCGUAUAUUUAAGUUGCUGCAGUUAAACAGCUCGUAGUUGGAUUUCGGGUGGGAAUGGCCGGUCCGCCGUUUCGGUGUGCACUUGCUACGCCCACCUUGCUGCCGGGGACGUGCUCUUGAGUUCACGCUCGGGACACGGAGUCGGCGAGGUUACUUUGAGUAAAUUAGAGUGUUCAAAGCAGGCCUACGCUCUGAAUACAUUAGCAUGGAAUAACACGAUAGGACUCUGGCCUAUCUUGUUGGUCUGUAGGACCGGAGUAAUGAUUAAGAGGGACAGUCGGGGGCAUUCGUAUUUCAUUGUCAGAGGUGAAAUUCUUGGAUUUAUGAAAGACGAACUACUGCGAAAGCAUUUGCCAAGGAUGUUUUCAUUAA
RNAcentral lists this ribosomal RNA (377 nucleotides) under uncultured eukaryote. RNAcentral's name for it is "partial 18S ribosomal RNA". It matches the Rfam family "Eukaryotic small subunit ribosomal RNA", at positions 592 to 976 of the family's 1831-position model. The record is from RNAcentral.